GUGUCAGCAGCCGCGGUAAUACGUAGGGUGCAAGCGUUAAUCGGAAUUACUGGGCGUAAAGCGUGCGCAGGCGGUUAUAUAAGACAGAUGUGAAAUCCCCGGGCUUAACCUGGGAACUGCACUUGUGACUGCACGGCUUGAGUGCGGCAGAGGGGGAUGGAAUUCCGCGUGUAGCAGUGAAUGCGUAGAUAUGCGGAGGAACACCGAUGGCGAAGGCAAUCCCCUGGGCCUGCACUGACGCUCAUGCACGAAAGCGUGGGGAGCAAACAGGAUUAGAUACCCGUGUAGUCC
RNAcentral lists this ribosomal RNA (291 nucleotides) under uncultured Comamonadaceae bacterium. RNAcentral's name for it is "partial 16S ribosomal RNA". It matches the Rfam family "Bacterial small subunit ribosomal RNA", at positions 505 to 796 of the family's 1533-position model. The record is from RNAcentral. Lineage: Bacteria; Pseudomonadati; Pseudomonadota; Betaproteobacteria; Burkholderiales; Comamonadaceae.